Photinus pyralis (common eastern firefly) is the source of this 1326-nucleotide long non-coding RNA. RefSeq lists it as uncharacterized. The transcript has 4 exons. Lineage: Eukaryota; Metazoa; Arthropoda; Insecta; Coleoptera; Lampyridae. The record is from RefSeq and is a predicted model, not a curated record.
CGAUUUUAGCAUACUCUGAUAGGGCAAAAUGGAACACCAUCGGUUAAAAUUUUGAUCAUUCUCGUUCAGUGGAUUUCGUGUUAGCUCCCCUACUACAAGGAACUGAGUGACAUAGCGGCAACGGAAUUAAAUGAAGAUCCUAAGCGAACUAUAGAAACUCUUGAAGCUUUUGAUGAAUGGUUAAGGAAGCAACGACACUUGCAUGUGAGAAACGAUUACCUACCAACACCUGAUUGCUUUCCUUCGUGGGUGUAAAUGGAGUCUUGAACGAGCUAAACAAAAAAUUGAUGGUUAUUACACGUUUAAAACACUGCUUCCGGAACUGUUCCGAGAGAGGGAUCCUGCAUCAGAUGAAAUGCAAGCAGCACUUAAGGCCGGUUUGGUUGCACUCCUACCAACUGGAAAAGGACACGCCGGGCCAAGAACUCUGUUUUUAUCCUAUCACGAGGCAAUAUCGGUGGGGACGAUGUGUAAAAUAUUUUCCUCUGCUAUGGACAUGUUAAUUAUAGAAGACGACAAUGCUGUUAUAUCUGGAUUACAAAUAAUAGUAGAUUUUAAAGGGAUUACUGCGGGACAUUUGUUACCAAUUUACACAUGCGUUAAUGAAAAAGGUUGCAAUGUGCGUUAAUGUGAUGUAUCCCAUCAGAUUUAACAAAAUGAUUGGUAUAAAUACUCCAAAACCCCUACAAGUAAUAUAUAACACCUUACUUAAGCCGUUUUUGAGUGACAAACUUAAAAAGAGGGUAAAAUAUGCUAAGAUAUAGCACUACCGAAGAGUAAUGCAUUUUAACUACACACUUUUUUCAGGUUUGCUUUUUACCGGUACAAGGAUGGAAAGAAGCUAUUGGCAAUGAUAUACUUUCAUUAAGUACUUCCCUUGGAAUACGGAGGCGACAACCUACCCAUAAACUAUCUUAUGGACGAAUGGUCUCGGAAAUUUAAUAGUUACCAGGGACUGGUUUAUAGAGGAUGACACCUAUUCGUGCGACGAGACCUAUCGUUCUAGCUACACAUGCAGUCAAGAUUUAGGAAUGGAGGGAUCUUUUCGGAAGUUAUCUAUAGAUUAGUGCUUGCAAAGAGUAUAUAACGUUGUAUACUCUUUGGUACUUGUGAGUUGUAGGUGGUCAUACGCAGUGAAUGUCCGGAAAUCUACCCCUCCACUUCCUGGGCAUUGUAAAACUUGCUAAAUAUACCUACGUUAUUACCCAUUAUUAUAAUUUUUGGCGCAUUUUCCAACGCAGUUGAGUGCGUUAUUGCAGCCACCACCUAUGUCUGUCCAUCCGUUCGAGUCCUUAACUACCCUUAUAAAUUAUAAUUUUCAAUAUA